AGAGUUUGAUCCUGGCUCAGGACGAACGCUGGCGGCGUGCCUAAUACAUGCAAGUAGAACGCUGAAGGAGGAGCUUGCUUCUCUGGAUGAGUUGCGAACGGGUGAGUAACGCGUAGGUAACCUGCCUGGUAGCGGGGGAUAACUAUUGGAAACGAUAGCUAAUACCGCAUAAGAGUAGAUGUUGCAUGACAUUUGCUUAAAAGGUGCACUUGCAUCACUACCAGAUGGACCUGCGUUGUAUUAGCUAGUUGGUGGGGUAACGGCUCACCAAGGCGACGAUACAUAGCCGACCUGAGAGGGUGAUCGGCCACACUGGGACUGAGACACNGACAAUACUCAUUAUGAAGCUGGAACGGCAGAAGAGAUUAUUCCUCGUUGGUACAAGGAAGGCUACCGAGCAGAUGCUUUGAUUGUUGACCCACCACGUACAGGUCUGGAUGAUAAGUUAUUAGAUACUAUUCUUACUUAUGUACCAGAAAAAAUGGUUUAUAUUUCUUGUAAUGUUUCGACCUUGGCUCGUGAUUUGGUACGCUUAGUAGAAGUCUAUGAUCUUCAUUAUAUCCAGUCGGUCGAUAUGUUCCCACAUACAGCUCGAACUGAAGCUGUUGUAAAAUUAAUAAAAAAAGUUUAAAAAAGGUGUUGACAAAACAUAAAAAGGCUGUAUAAUAGUAAGAGUUGAAAAUAACAACUCAGGUCCGUUGGUCAAGGGGUUAAGACACCGCCUUUUCACGGCGGUAACACGGGUUCGAAUCCCGUACGGACUAUGGUAUGUUGCGGUUGGAACACUUGAUGAAAAAAAGUUUAAAAAAGCUUAAAAAUCUUAAAAAAAGUGUUGACAAGUGAAAGUGGCUGUGAUAUACUAAUAUAGUUGUCGCUUGAGAGAAGCAAGUGACAAAGACCUUUGAAAACUGAACAAGACGAACCAAUGUGCAGGGCGCUACAACAUAAGUUGUAGUACUGAACAAUGAAAAAAACAAUAAAUCUGUCAGUGACAGAAAUGAGUGAGAACUCAAACUUUUAAUGAGAGUUUGAUCCUGGCUCAGGACGAACGCUGGCGGCGUGCCUAAUACAUGCAAGUAGAACGCUGAAGGAGGAGCUUGCUUCUCUGGAUGAGUUGCGAACGGGUGAGUAACGCGUAGGUAACCUGCCUGGUAGCGGGGGAUAACUAUUGGAAACGAUAGCUAAUACCGCAUAAGAGUAGAUGUUGCAUGACAUUUGCUUAAAAGGUGCACUUGCAUCACUACCAGAUGGACCUGCGUUGUAUUAGCUAGUUGGUGGGGUAACGGCUCACCAAGGCGACGAUACAUAGCCGACCUGAGAGGGUGAUCGGCCACACUGGGACUGAGACACGGCCCAGACUCCUACGGGAGGCAGCAGUAGGGAAUCUUCGGCAAUGGACGGAAGUCUGACCGAGCAACGCCGCGUGAGUGAAGAAGGUUUUCGGAUCGUAAAGCUCUGUUGUAAGAGAAGAACGAGUGUGAGAGUGGAAAGUUCACACUGUGACGGUAUCUUACCAGAAAGGGACGGCUAACUACGUGCCAGCAGCCGCGGUAAUACGUAGGUCCCGAGCGUUGUCCGGAUUUAUUGGGCGUAAAGCGAGCGCAGGCGGUUAGAUAAGUCUGAAGUUAAAGGCUGUGGCUUAACCAUAGUAGGCUUUGGAAACUGUUUAACUUGAGUGCAAGAGGGGAGAGUGGAAUUCCAUGUGUAGCGGUGAAAUGCGUAGAUAUAUGGAGGAACACCGGUGGCGAAAGCGGCUCUCUGGCUUGUAACUGACGCUGAGGCUCGAAAGCGUGGGGAGCAAACAGGAUUAGAUACCCUGGUAGUCCACGCUGUAAACGAUGAGUGCUAGGUGUUAGACCCUUUCCGGGGUUUAGUGCCGUAGCUAACGCAUUAAGCACUCCGCCUGGGGAGUACGACCGCAAGGUUGAAACUCAAAGGAAUUGACGGGGGCCCGCACAAGCGGUGGAGCAUGUGGUUUAAUUCGAAGCAACGCGAAGAACCUUACCAGGUCUUGACAUCCCUCUGACCGCUCUAGAGAUAGAGUUUUCCUUCGGGACAGAGGUGACAGGUGGUGCAUGGUUGUCGUCAGCUCGUGUCGUGAGAUGUUGGGUUAAGUCCCGCAACGAGCGCAACCCCUAUUGUUAGUUGCCAUCAUUUAGUUGGGCACUCUAGCGAGACUGCCGGUAAUAAACCGGAGGAAGGUGGGGAUGACGUCAAAUCAUCAUGCCCCUUAUGACCUGGGCUACACACGUGCUACAAUGGCUGGUACAACGAGUCGCAAGCCGGUGACGGCAAGCUAAUCUCUUAAAGCCAGUCUCAGUUCGGAUUGUAGGCUGCAACUCGCCUACAUGAAGUCGGAAUCGCUAGUAAUCGCGGAUCAGCACGCCGCGGUGAAUACGUUCCCGGGCCUUGUACACACCGCCCGUCACACCACGAGAGUUUGUAACACCCGAAGUCGGUGAGGUAACCGUAAGGAGCCAGCCGCCUAAGGUGGGAUAGAUGAUUGGGGUGAAGUCGUAACAAGGUAGCCGUAUCGGAAGGUGCGGCUGGAUCACCU
RNAcentral lists this transfer RNA (2557 nucleotides) under Streptococcus pneumoniae. RNAcentral's name for it is "bacterial SSU rRNA". The stretch from base 1017 to 2557 matches the Rfam family "Bacterial small subunit ribosomal RNA". The record is from RNAcentral. Lineage: Bacteria; Bacillati; Bacillota; Bacilli; Lactobacillales; Streptococcaceae.